Molecule: non-coding RNA, 72 nt
Organism: Bos taurus (domestic cattle)
Lineage: Eukaryota; Metazoa; Chordata; Mammalia; Artiodactyla; Bovidae
Source: Rfam
UCCCUGGUGGCUCAGACGGUAAAGCGUCUGCCUCCAGUGCAGGAGAUCCGGGUUCAAUCCCUGGGUCCGGAA